This 1360-nucleotide ribosomal RNA is filed under the name Munnopsurus sp. MR-2008. RNAcentral describes it as "eukaryotic LSU rRNA". It matches the Rfam family "Eukaryotic large subunit ribosomal RNA", at positions 1363 to 2357 of the family's 3401-position model. Lineage: Eukaryota; Metazoa; Arthropoda; Malacostraca; Isopoda; Munnopsidae. The record is from RNAcentral.
GUCUCGAAGCUUCGACGAGUAGGAGGGCGCGGGGGUGAGCGUAGAAGUUCGAACGUGAGUUCGAAUGGAGCCGCCUUCGGUGCAGAUCUUGGUAGUAGUAGCAAACACUCCUUUGAGAAGCACGUUAACUCGGAUGAGGGCCGUGCGGAGAAGGGUUCCUCGUCAACUGCAGUUGAACGAGGGUUAGUCGAUCCUAAGCCCAAGGCUCGAGCUUGUUACCAUACGACUCGACCAAAACACACCAUUCAAUUAAUGAUUACAAAUAUAUUUUUACUUUAUGUAUAAUGUAUGCGUAGUUUUUUAUAUAACUAUAAUAAAGUUGAUCGAAUGAUCGGGCGAAAGGGAAUUCGGACAAAAUUCCGAAACCCGGCGAGGGUAUAACACGUUGAGCCUACGGGCAAACGCUAUUAUGGCAAUAACACCCUAGGCUCCCGGUGACGGGAGAUAGAGCCAAAGACGUUGACGACAGCCCGGGGAAGAGCUAGCUCUUUUCUUCAUAAGGCGCCGCGGACCCUGGAAUCAAUUUGAUGGGAGAAAGGGUAUAGACAUACGUGGAUGUUCGCCGAAGAGUAUCGCAUUUGUUGCGGUAUCUCGCGCGUUGUCGUCGACCCGUGAAAACUUUGGCCGAGGGAUUGCUAAUUCUUUGAUUUUAGCGACAUACCUUCUCGUCGUUCCUAUUGGUCGUACCUAUAUCCGCAUCCGGUCUCCGAGGUGCUUAGUCUCUUGUCGAUAGUCUAAUGUAGAUAAGGGAAGUCGGCAAAAUCGAUCCGUAACUUCGGGAGAAGGAUUGGCUCUUAAGGGCGGGCUAGUCGGGCCUUCGAUCGGAAGCGGUACAAAGAGUUAUGGGUUUCGUCGUAGUCGAGUGGAUUAAGCUAGCUUGUGUCGAUGGCACUCGAAAGCUGUCGGCAUUUUGUUACUUUUCCUCCUCUUCUUCACGGCCCGCUCCGUCGUAUCCGCGGACGUUCGUUGGCUAGUGGUGCUCCGUGGAAGAGGCUUCUUUAGCUCCGUUUCGCUCUCGCUGGUCGUCUUUACGGAUGGUUGGUGGGUGGUGUUUCGGCGGCGGGAGUCUGUAUACGCGGAUGUCAUCUCGGCUGGCCAUUAGCGUCCGAUUAAGAACUGGCACGGACUAGGGGAAUCCGACUGUCUAAUUAAAACAAAGCAUCGCGAUGGCCGCGAGUCGGUGUUGACGCGAUGUGAUUUCUGCCCAGUGCUCUGAAUGUCAAAGUGAAGAAAUUCAAUUAAGCGCGGGUAAACGGCGGGAGUAACUAUGACUCUCUUAAGGUAGCCAAAUGCCUCGUCAUCUAAUUAGUGACGCGCAUGAAUGGAUUAACCAGAUUCCCACUGUCCCUAUCUACUGUCU